This 271-nucleotide ribosomal RNA is filed under the name uncultured prokaryote. RNAcentral's name for it is "partial 16S ribosomal RNA". It matches the Rfam family "Bacterial small subunit ribosomal RNA", at positions 524 to 794 of the family's 1533-position model. The record is from RNAcentral.
UACGUAGGUGGCGAGCGUUGUCCGGAUUUACUGGGCGUAAAGGGAGCGUAGGCGGACUUUUAAGUGAGAUGUGAAAUACCCGGGCUCAACUUGGGUGCUGCAUUUCAAACUGGAAGUCUAGAGUGCAGGAGAGGAGAAUGGAAUUCCUAGUGUAGCGGUGAAAUGCGUAGAGAUUAGGAAGAACACCAGUGGCGAAGGCGAUUCUCUGGACUGUAAUUGACGCUGAGGCUCGAAAGCGUGGGGAGUAAACAGGAUUAGAUACCCGGGUAGU